Molecule: ribosomal RNA, 465 nt
Filed under: Vreelandella stevensii
Lineage: Bacteria; Pseudomonadati; Pseudomonadota; Gammaproteobacteria; Oceanospirillales; Halomonadaceae
Description: partial 16S ribosomal RNA
Rfam family: Bacterial small subunit ribosomal RNA
Source: RNAcentral
CCUACGGGAGGCAGCAGUGGGGAAUAUUGGACAAUGGGGGCAACCCUGAUCCAGCCAUGCCGCGUGUGUGAAGAAGGCCCUCGGGUUGUAAAGCACUUUCAGUGAGGAAGAACGCCUGGUGGUUAAUACCCAUCAGGAAAGACAUCACUCACAGAAGAAGCACCGGCUAACUCCGUGCCAGCAGCCGCGGUAAUACGGAGGGUGCGAGCGUUAAUCGGAAUUACUGGGCGUAAAGCGCGCGUAGGUGGCUUGAUAAGCCGGUUGUGAAAGCCCCGGGCUCAACCUGGGAACGGCAUCCGGAACUGUCAAGCUAGAGUGCAGGAGAGGAAGGUAGAAUUCCCGGUGUAGCGGUGAAAUGCGUAGAGAUCGGGAGGAAUACCAGUGGCGAAGGCGGCCUUCUGGACUGACACUGACACUGAGGUGCGAAAGCGUAGGUAGCAAACAGGAUUAGAUACCCGGGUAGUC